UGUGUGUGUAUGUAGGUAUGUCUCUGUGUGUGUGUGUAUGUGUGUGUCAGUAUGUCUGCCAGGAUAUAUUUGUGUGUCAGUGUAUGUGUGUGUCAGUAUGUAUCUGUGAAUGUUUUAAUGUCUGUCUGUGUGUAUGUGCCAGUACGUCUGUCUGUGUGUAUGUAUGUCUGUGUGUAUGUAAGUAUGUCUGUGUAUGUGUGUGUCAGUCAGUAUGUCUGUCAGUGUAUGUGUCUGUGUGUAUGUAUGUAUGUAUGUCUGUGUGUGUGUGUCAGUAUGUCUGCCAGGAUAUAUUUGUAUGUCAGCGUAUGUGUGUGUCAGUAUAUAUCUGUGAAUGUUUAAUGUCUGUCUGUAUCAGCCAUUACGUCUGUCUGUGUAUAUGUCAGUAUGCCUGUGUGUGUGUGU
Pelobates cultripes (western spadefoot toad) is the source of this 402-nucleotide non-coding RNA. NCBI's taxonomy places the organism in Eukaryota, Metazoa, Chordata, Amphibia, Anura, Pelobatidae. The record is from the annotation of a GenBank genome assembly.